AGUGAACGCUGGCGGUAGGCCUAACACAUGCAAGUCGAACGGCAGCACAGUAAGAGCUUGCUCUUACGGGUGGCGAGUGGCGGACGGGUGAGGAAUACGUCGGAAUCUACUUUUUCGUGGGGGAUAACGUAGGGAAACUUACGCUAAUACCGCAUACGACCUACGGGUGAAAGCAGGGGAUCUUCGGACCUUGCGCGAUUGGAUGAGCCGAUGUCGGAUUAGCUAGUUGGCGGGGUAAAGGCCCACCAAGGCGACGAUCCGUAGCUGGUCUGAGAGGAUGAUCAGCCACACUGGAACUGAGACACGGUCCAGACUCCUACGGGAGGCAGCAGUGGGGAAUAUUGGACAAUGGGCGCAAGCCUGAUCCAGCCAUACCGCGUGGGUGAAGAAGGCCUUCGGGUUGUAAAGCCCUUUUGUUGGGAAAGAAAAGCAGCAGGUUAAUACCCCGCUGUUCUGACGGUACCCAAAGAAUAAGCACCGGCUAACUUCGUG
RNAcentral lists this ribosomal RNA (492 nucleotides) under uncultured bacterium. RNAcentral's name for it is "partial 16S ribosomal RNA". It matches the Rfam family "Bacterial small subunit ribosomal RNA", at positions 29 to 507 of the family's 1533-position model. The record is from RNAcentral.